Molecule: long non-coding RNA, 600 nt
Filed under: Homo sapiens (human)
Lineage: Eukaryota; Metazoa; Chordata; Mammalia; Primates; Hominidae
Description: HSALNT0016897
Source: RNAcentral
GCUCCAGCUGUUCGAAGGUGAUCCAGACGCAAGAUGGCUGUCCUCUCUAAGGAAUAUGGUUUUGUGCUUCUAACUGGUGCUGCCAGCUUUAUAAUGGUGGCCCACCUAGCCAUCAAUGUUUCCAAGGCCCGCAAGAAGUACAAAGUGGAGUAUCCUAUCAUGUACAGCACGGACCCUGAAAAUGGGCACAUCUUCAACUGCAUUCAGCGAGCCCACCAGAACACGUGAGUUGUAUCCUCCCUUCUUAUUUUUUCUAGCUGUUGGAGGUGUUUACCACCCGCGUAUAGCUUCUGGCCUGGGCUUGGCCUGGAUUGUUGGACGAGUUCUUUAUGCUUAUGGCUAUUACACGGGAGAACCCAGCAAGCGUAGUCGAGGAGCCCUGGGGUCCAUCGCCCUCCUGGGCUUGGUGGGCACAACUGUGUGCUCUGCUUUCCAGCAUCUUGGUUGGGUUAAAAGUGGCUUGGGCAGUGGACCCAAAUGCUGCCAUUAAAGAAUUAUAGGGGUUUAAAAACUCUCAUUCAUUUUAAAUGACUUACCUUUAUUUCCAGUUACAUUUUUUUUCUAAAUAUAAUAAAAACUUACCUGGCAUCAGCCUCAUAC